CGACCGGCGCACGGGUGAGUAACACGUAUCCAACCUGCCGUCUACUCUUGGCCAGCCUUCUGAAAGGAAGAUUAAUCCGGGAUGGGAUCAUGAGUUCACAUGUCCGCAUGAUUAAAGGUAUUUUCCGGUAGACGAUGGGGAUGCGUUCCAUUAGAUAGUAGGCGGGGUAACGGCCCACCUAGUCAACGAUGGAUAGGGGUUCUGAGAGGAAGGUCCCCCACAUUGGAACUGAGACACGGUCCAA
Molecule: ribosomal RNA, 244 nt
Filed under: uncultured bacterium
Lineage: Bacteria
Description: partial 16S ribosomal RNA
Rfam family: Bacterial small subunit ribosomal RNA
Source: RNAcentral